Molecule: ribosomal RNA, 367 nt
Filed under: uncultured Anaerolineaceae bacterium
Lineage: Bacteria; Bacillati; Chloroflexota; Anaerolineae; Anaerolineales; Anaerolineaceae
Description: bacterial SSU rRNA
Rfam family: Bacterial small subunit ribosomal RNA
Source: RNAcentral
CCUUCGGGUACAAUUUGAGACAGGUGGUGCAUGGUUGUCGUCAGCUCGUGUCGUGAGAUGUUGGGUUAAGUCCCGCAACGAGCGCAACCCUUGCCUUUAGUUGCCAGCACGUUCGGCUGGGGACUCUAAAGGAACUGCCUACGCAAGUAGUGAGGAAGCGGGGAUGACGUCAAAUCAGCACGGCCCUUACGUCCAGGGCUACACACGUGCUACAAUGGCCGAUACAGAGGGCAGCUACCUGGUGACAGGAUGCAAAUCUCCAAAGUCGGUCUCAGUUCGGAUCGGAGUCUGCAACCCGACUCCGUGAAGUUGGAUUCGCUAGUAAUCGCGCAUCAGCCAUGGCGCGGUGAAUACGUUCCCGGGCCUU